UUGUUGUUAGUUGGUUCCAAACCCUCGCAAUCAAUAUUUCACCAAAUUAUUUCCCUGAAAAGCAUCCCAAACAUCCUUUACAAGAUUGAUACAUAUUCUAUUUUUUGCUGUAAAACCAAGGAGUAAAAUAACACAAGUUACCUACAUGAUACAGUGGAGAGGUAGGAUACAAAUCAUAGAAAUAGCAAAUUGUAUGAUCUAAUACCCUUGGCAUACAACCUCACAAAUAAAUUUGGAACCAAUCGCGAGGCCAGUAGGGUCAAAAUUCGCAUUCAUUUGGAAUAACCAGCUCAUGGUUAUCCAGAUUUAGCCGGCAGGAUUGCGCAUUUUCAAGCAUGAUAUGAAUCAUCCUGUGAACACACCUCGAGUUGGCAGCGACAUCCUCGCAUACUGAAUCGCCAGCGGACCCAUCGCCGGCAUCACACCACCAUCGGUGCAGCAGUUUCGGAAUUUCCAGCCACGACUUCUUCGAAACACCGCAAGGAUUUCUCAGUCAGGCGAAGCAGGUGAUGGACCACCGGUGGCCGGUGAUGGGUCGGUGUAGAAGAGUAGUGGCAUCCGAUCCUUCAAGCGAGGUGGGCGGUGGCCGGCGGCUCCGAUCCCACGGGUGAGGCUGGCGGCUCCGAUCCCGCAGGUGAGGAGGGCGGCGGUGUUCGAGCGGACUGUGCCGCGGAGGAGAGGGUCGUGCAUGAGGCGGCAGCCGGGAUCCCGCCGAUGAGAAGGGGGCGGCGUUCAACCUGGCUGGGCCGGGUGGAUCGGAGGAGAGCCGAUCUGGUGGUGGCGAGAAUUGUGGAGGGGAUGGGAGAAAGAGAAACUGGAAGAGGAUACGGGGUGGAGCGAUUGCUGGGUGCGGGAUAAGAUCGUG
Molecule: long non-coding RNA, 865 nt
Filed under: Triticum aestivum (bread wheat)
Lineage: Eukaryota; Viridiplantae; Streptophyta; Magnoliopsida; Poales; Poaceae
Description: long non-coding RNA (TAES_LNC026763)
Source: RNAcentral